UUGCCCGAUGAUUAUAAAAAGACGCGAAAGAGGACUAAAAGCUGGAAUCCUUUUCCUUUUAUUCUCUCUACUCUUUUGUCUUUAAUUUCUCUUCUACUUUUCUCUGCUUCCUUUUCUCUCUCUGGGUGUCCAGCGUCCUAUGAGCGAAGAUUAUGAGAUAUGAGGGCAA
Molecule: small nucleolar RNA, 169 nt
Organism: Grammomys surdaster
Lineage: Eukaryota; Metazoa; Chordata; Mammalia; Rodentia; Muridae
Product: small nucleolar RNA SNORD97
Exons: 1
Source: RefSeq, a predicted model, not a curated record